Molecule: small RNA, 359 nt
Filed under: Histoplasma ohiense
Lineage: Eukaryota; Fungi; Ascomycota; Eurotiomycetes; Onygenales; Ajellomycetaceae
Description: hypothetical lncRNA
Source: RNAcentral
CCAGAAUCAACUACCAUUUAUAAAGAAAGAGGAGUGUACAAAUGCGUAAUUGUACCUUUGUCUCGGCGUACCGCCGACGAGCUCCGAGUUCUAGAGAAGAAAAUAUCGCUGAGCUCACUAUAGCCGCCGAUAAUUGAGAGGCAGAAAGCUGACCCUAUUCUGUAAGACUUCCAGUUCAUAUUUACUAUAUGUCACGACCCUAGACAUGACUGGUCACGUCACGUGAGGCUUUGAGCCAUAUCUCAUAAUCAUUUCUCUUGAUCAAAUUGGGGGGUUUUCAUGAGAGAAGGUCUUGAUUCAACUAUCUGUACUCCGUACUGCAGGAGCAGUUUUUGUACAUCCGGAAGACUCAUUGAAGG